Molecule: ribosomal RNA, 519 nt
Filed under: uncultured eukaryote
Lineage: Eukaryota
Description: SSU rRNA
Rfam family: Eukaryotic small subunit ribosomal RNA
Source: RNAcentral
AGGGCACCACCAGGAGUGGAGCCUGCGGCUUAAUUUGACUCAACGCGGGGAAACUUACCCGGCCCGGACACCGUAAGGAUUGGCAGAUUGAGAGCUCUUUCUUGAUUCGGUGGGUGGUGGUGCAUGGCCGUUCUUAGUUGGUGGAGCGAUUUGUCUGGUUAAUUCCGAUAACGAACGAGACUCUAGCCUAUUAAAUAGUCGGUAAAUCCUUUGUUUACUGUACUUCUUAGAGGGACAGAAGGCGUCUAGCCUUACGAGAUUGAGCAAUAACAGGUCUGUGAUGCCCUUAGAUGUUCGGGGCUGCACGCGCGCUACACUGAAGGAUUCAACGUGAUUUUUCACCUGUUCUGGAAAGAAUGGGUAACCCGUUGAAACUCCUUCGUGAUUGGGAUAGGGGCUUGUAAUUAUUCCCCUUGAACGAGGAAUUCCUAGUAAGUGCGGGUCAUCAUCUCGCGUUGAUUACGUCCCUGCCCUUUGUACACACCGCCCGUCGCUACUACCGAUUGGAUGAUUUAGUGA